GAGGGCUUGUGCACCCCGGAGAUUAGUCGGGGCACUGUUCCUGGAUACCCGGUGCCAAUAAAAAAAGAUUAUAACCUGUCGGGUAUUAUAGAUAACUGGAUUGAGAGAUGGUUAACACCAUCACCAAACUUUUUUAUGAUACCUUUUGUCUCACUAACAACCAUGUCUUUGAAUGAUGGAGGGAAAGGAAAAGAAUGCCAAAGUGAAACACGUAUUUUCCACAGUAGGUCCUUGCAGAUUUUUCUUGUGCAUCCUAUCUUUUGUACAAUAAAUAUUUUUCCCUAAAAGCACUGGCAGCAAAGUCAUUAUGUGCAGAUAACUGCCUUGAUUUAAAUCUUAUGUGAAGUAACUCAAUCUUAUUGAACUGCAUUUCAAUCAUGCAUACUUAAGGUCUAUUUUUUGGGGGGAGCCCAUCCUUUGGAAAGUUCAUGUCCUCAUAACAGUGACUGGUUUGAACUUGCUGAUGCCUGUGAUUUCUUUUAUUCCACAUGAAUUCACUCCAUCUUCUAAUAUCUGAGGGGAUGUGUUGCUCUACUAUUUUUUGCUCUAAUAUGUUUGAAAUAUUUUUAAUGCAGUAUUUCCAUCCGGAUAAUAUGUCUUCUGCAGGAAAACUAAAAACUGAGCUGACAAACGUUAGGGAUGAAUUUAAAUGUCAGAGUCAGACUGUGGAUCUGCACGUGUGCAAGAUGCACACGCAUAACUACUUCCUGUGUACUGGGUAAACACCCUCAUUCGUUUCAAUAAAACCUAUUUUACCUAUGGAAGAACUAAUUCCACUAAAAUGUAGACUAUGUUUUUCCCACUUCUAUCAUUAUGUAAUGGUGAGUCCAUAAUGAAUAGAAGUGAAAGAAUUGCUGAAGAAUGAGUAAGUCAAACAUUGUGGUGCUCCUCCCUCUGUUAUUCGUUGCCUCAUUUCCUUUCGUUCCCACUUCCUUCCAACAUGGGACACCUUAAUUCUGGCAUAUCCAUAAAUGGCUUUGACUUGAGAGAAUGGCUGAUAUAAAUACACUGCAAAUGAUGAAGUAAAUACAAGCUAUUGGUUAAGCCAUGGUAUAUUAUAGAAUGUGGAGCCGAAAAUUACGAGAUUGAGAUGCAUUAGGUAUUAAAUCUGAAGAGUGUAGAGACGAGAUACGGAUGACCUAACGAGGAUGUCUGGAGUUUGAGUGGGUGAGAUUGUAAUUCCUUGGAUUGAUUAUAGGAAUUGUGGUAAAUGAGAUCUCACAUUGCCUCUAAAGAAGAAUUUGUUAUGGAGUGGUGUUUUAUAUGCAAGAAGCAUGGAGAAUCUGUGGAUCAUUUACUUUUACAUUGUGAGGUGGCAAAGGCUUUGUGGGAUGGAGUUUUUAAUAGAAUUGGGUUGGCUUGGGUGAUGCUUUUGAGAGUGGUGGAUCUUCUUGCGUGUUGGAACGAGCUAUAUUGCUCUCAAAUGGUUGCAGUGUGGAAGAUGGUUCCUUUAUAUCUAAUGUGGUGCAUUUAGUUGGAAAUAAACGAGCGGUGUUUUAAUGAUAAGGAUCGCAUCUUGGAGGAAA
This is a long non-coding RNA of Juglans microcarpa x Juglans regia, 1526 nucleotides long. RefSeq lists it as uncharacterized. Lineage: Eukaryota; Viridiplantae; Streptophyta; Magnoliopsida; Fagales; Juglandaceae. The transcript is spliced from 2 exons. The record is from RefSeq and is a predicted model, not a curated record.